CCCGCUCAAGUCCCAGCAAUCGGCGCUCACCCCCGCCCGCGGCUGCCGUUUCCUUCUCCCUAGCCCCUCUGCUCGCCGAGAACAUGCAGGCCGAGGCACGGCCCACCCACCCACUCCGACGCCAUAGGCUCCUCCUACGACCCGUCCCCGUCCCCUCGGCGCCGUCGCUGACGACCUCCCCUUCUACCUCUCCGACCUCGGCCCUGCCUCCCCUCCCCCUACCUCGACCUCCCACCCACCCCGCAGCACGAGAAACCUCCGCAGCCGCAGCAGUACCCCCAGCCCAACGGCGGGGCCGCGGCGUCGCCGGAGGACAUGGUCCUCCCCUUCAUCUCCCGUAUGUGUACCGGUGCCGUCUCCCUCACGCGCCGCUCCACCCCGCGCUCGUCGCCGUCGGCGAUAUCGGCCUCGGGAGGACCGUCGACGCGGGGGACGGCGAGCAGUGGCGCCGGGAAGGCCCGGCGACGCGGAGGACGGCGAGCAGUGGCGCCUCGCGGCGGCCGACCUCUCCCGGAGGCUCGCCGUGGCCACGCGCACGCGGGACGAGGCGCUGGAGGAGAUCACGCGCCUGAAGAACUCCGCCUUCCCCGUCGACGCCUUCCUCCGCCGUCUCCACCGCGCACGCCGCCGUGCGGAACCUCGCACGCGCUGUCGACGCACCUGCACAGCCCCGCCAGCCCCGGCCCGAACCUCGAGAGCUUCCUCAACCGCGCCUUCCACGCCGACUUCGAGCUGGACACCGACGCCGAGGCCAAAUUACUUUAUGAUCCGAACUGAUUUCCCCUCCAGGGACCCGUGCGUGCUCGCGUCGUCCGCCCACCCAUUUGGCCACAGCUCCAACACCGAGGGCAUGCAUCUUCAGAACACUAGGGGCGUCGGGAUCAAGAGCUCGAGCGUCGGUUGCGGCGAUGACUGGGUGUCGAUAGAGACUGGGUGCACAAGUGUUCAGAUUAAGUCAUGAAGAACAUUGUCUGCAACCAUGCCACGGAAUCAGGUGUGUGAGCAAAUAAUAGUACUACUACAACCAACCGCUUGUGCUCACAUUCAGAGAGAAUGUUUGGGACAGUUCAGCUAAUGCAGAGUUCAAGAAAACAUAUUGAGUUCUGAACAUGUGACCAUUUAGCUUGCAGAGCAUAUUUAUCCUCAAAAUUAUUAUUAAAACAUGUAAGUAGAAUGGUGAUAAGAUAUGUGUACUGUAAGUGCAAUAAUAAGUUUAGCUACACAUUUAUCCUCUGAUUUAAAAUCUGACGUUGUUUUGGUUUCACAACAUGCCAGGUAGCAUUGCAGUCUGAAUUCUGCUUUUUUUUUUUGGGAACGUAUAUGAGCUCACAGUCUCACACUGAUAUCAUUUGGUUACUGCAGGGAGCAUGUGGGGAAAUUAUUUGAGUUAGGGUAACCUCUAACAUGAUCAGGGAAAAUUGUAGCAAAUCUCUCACUCUAUUAUUUUAGGUGGUACCUGAGCAUCUCAUGUCUUCUAGCCAUUUUGUAUGAUGUCGUGUCUUUUGACUUGCUUCCAUGCUAAGGUUAAAUUUGCCUGUUAACCCAUCUGUGAAAUGUUGACGAACAUAUCCAGCGGUUGAUCAUCAUAUAGGAGUCGGUGAGCCAGUUAAGAUUGUUGAUACAUAGGUAAUGUGCACAAAUAUUACUGAAAGAUCUCAAUUGCAUUAAGCUUUUUGCAAAGGCUGACGAUUCUUGCUACAAAAAUAUUGGUGGGUUCAAAGGGCAAGUGUAUUUCACUGAGUACAAUGUCACUAUGUUAAAUACCUACUGUAUUAUUUUGUUUCAGACUAUCUUAAGAUUUGGUGGCCUCAAAACUGUGAGCUUUUUCUCCAUUCCAUACCUUUAUCCCUUGUUUCUUCAUAGAAUAGUGAAAAGAGAGUCCUCUUGGGUAGGGGUGAAUGGUGAAAAUAAUUAGUGGGUGCUGAAAUCUUGUAGCCUUGUACUAUGUUGGCUACAAUAUAAUAAUUUAUCAAGCUACCGAAGUUAGAGUUUUUUGUUCCUUUUCUGCAAUUAGUGAUUUUUGAGCUGACCACACUCAUGGCUAUUUUGCUAUGGAUUUACAAAUUCUAUCUAAGAACAGAUGACCGAUUGUUAGCCGUUUUAUCUUCAUUAAAUUUGGAGAAGUUUUAACAACACUAGCUUAUGUACCUUCCUGCUUAUGAACGCACUUGCUGAUGGUUAUAACCGAGAAUGGUUUAUGUACGUGAACAAACUCAUGCUGUUUGCGAUAUCAUCCUGGAUGGUUUUUGAAAAAGGAUUUAGAGAAAUGACAUAACAUUUCUUCAGGACAGAAGGAUAGAGCACACGCCAAGUUGAAGAGCCAUUGUCAACUCCACACUGUUCCUUUGGCUUGUGCUGCCUGGAACAAUAUGCUGUUUUUUUUGCAAGAGUUUCUUUUUUUACGUGCCUUUUAUUGAUGUGUAGAUACACCAAGAAAGGAGUUACUGUCAAUUGGUGUGAUGAGCCACACAUAUCCUUUGCUUCUAGAUUAGAAUUCAUCUGAAUAAGACCAUCGUUGGCUACAGGCUAUAGAAAUGUCUUCUGUUUGUCUCGUAGAGAAUGAAUAAAUAAUUCGGAGGAUCAUGUAGAUAAAGGCACAAACAAGCAAGUUCUGAUGCGGAUGAGAUACAGUAUUGUGAACAAACAUUUGGAUAUCCCAGG
Long non-coding RNA from Panicum hallii, 2661 nucleotides. RefSeq lists it as uncharacterized. The transcript has 3 exons. Lineage: Eukaryota; Viridiplantae; Streptophyta; Magnoliopsida; Poales; Poaceae. The record is from RefSeq and is a predicted model, not a curated record.